Ipomoea nil (Japanese morning glory) is the source of this 73-nucleotide transfer RNA. It matches the Rfam family "tRNA". Rfam says of the family: Transfer RNA (tRNA) molecules are approximately 80 nucleotides in length. Their secondary structure includes four short double-helical elements and three loops (D, anti-codon, and T loops). Further hydrogen bonds mediate the characteristic L-shaped molecular structure. tRNAs have two regions of fundamental functional importance: the anti-codon, which is responsible for specific mRNA codon recognition, and the 3' end, to which the tRNAs corresponding amino acid is attached (by aminoacyl-tRNA synthetases). tRNAs cope with the degeneracy of the genetic code in two manners: having more than one tRNA (with a specific anti-codon) for a particular amino acid; and 'wobble' base-pairing, i.e. permitting non-standard base-pairing at the 3rd anti-codon position. The record is from Rfam. NCBI's taxonomy places the organism in Eukaryota, Viridiplantae, Streptophyta, Magnoliopsida, Solanales, Convolvulaceae.
GAUUCCAUGGCCCAUUGGAUAAGGUGCUGGUCUACGAAACCAGGGAUUCUGGGUUCGAUCCCCAGUGGAGUCG